RNAcentral lists this ribosomal RNA (468 nucleotides) under uncultured bacterium. RNAcentral describes it as "partial 16S ribosomal RNA". It matches the Rfam family "Bacterial small subunit ribosomal RNA", at positions 28 to 507 of the family's 1533-position model. The record is from RNAcentral.
GACGAACGCUGGCGGCGUGCUUAACACAUGCAAGUCGAACGGAAAGGCCCUGCUUUUGUGGGGUGCUCGAUUGGCGAACGGGUGAGUAACACGUGAGUAACCUGCCCUUGACUUUGGGAUAACUUCAGGAAACUGGGGCUAAUACCGGAUAGGAUCUCCUGCUGCAUGGUGGGGGUUGGAAAGUUUCGGCGGUUGGGGAUGGACUCGCGGCUUAUCAGCUUGUUGGUUGGGUAGUGGCUUACCAAGGCUUUGACGGAUAGCCGGCCUGAGAGGGUGACCGGCCACAUUGGGACUGAGAUACGGCCCAGACUCCUACGGGAGGCAGCAGUGGGGAAUAUUGCACAAUGGGCGGAAGCCUGAUGCAGCAACGCCGCGUGCGGGAUGACGGCCUUCGGGUUGUAAACCGCUUUCGCCUGUGACGAAGCGUGAGUGACGGUAAUGGGUAAAGAAGCACCGGCUAACUACGUG